This 223-nucleotide unclassified non-coding RNA is filed under the name rhizosphere metagenome. Its description in RNAcentral is "partial ribosomal RNA internal transcribed spacer region". The record is from RNAcentral.
GUAGGUGAACCUGCGGAUGGAUCAUUAGUGAAUGUGCGGCGACGGCGCGAGCCCGAGCCAGCCACUCCACCCUUGUGCACUGUACCGUACCCUGGCGGGGGAGCGCUAGCCUGCUAGUUGCCCACCCGCCAAAGGGCGCUUGCGCCCGCCCAACACUCAACGCUGUCUGAACUAUAGAACCAAAUGAUCUAAACAACUUUUGACAACGGAUCUCUUGGCUCUC